ACGGAAGGCAGCAGUGGGGGAUAUUGCGCAAUGGGGGAAACCCUGACGCAGCAACGCCGCGUGAAGGAAGAAGGUCUUCGGAUUGUAAACUUUGGUACUCAAGGACGAUAAUGACGGUACUUGAGGUUAAGCCACGACUAACUACGUGCCAGCAGUCGCGGUAAUACGUAGGUGGCAAGCGUUGUCCGGAAUGACUGGGUGUAAAGGGUGCGUAGGCGGGGAUGCAAGUCAGGUGUGAAAUACCGCAGCUUAACUGCGGGGCUGCACUUGAAACUGUAUUUCUUGAGUAGAGGAGAGGUAAGCGGAAUUCCCAGUGUAGCGGUGAAAUGCGUAGAUAUUGGGAGGAACACCAGUGGCGAAGGCGGCUUACUGGCCUCAAACUGACGCUGAGGCACGAAAGCGUGGGGAGCAAACAGGAUUAGAUACCCUGGUA
This 433-nucleotide ribosomal RNA is filed under the name uncultured Clostridium sp. RNAcentral describes it as "partial 16S ribosomal RNA". It matches the Rfam family "Bacterial small subunit ribosomal RNA", at positions 341 to 792 of the family's 1533-position model. Lineage: Bacteria; Bacillati; Bacillota; Clostridia; Eubacteriales; Clostridiaceae. The record is from RNAcentral.